Pelobates cultripes (western spadefoot toad) is the source of this 224-nucleotide non-coding RNA. Lineage: Eukaryota; Metazoa; Chordata; Amphibia; Anura; Pelobatidae. The record is from the annotation of a GenBank genome assembly.
AUACACACUAACAGACAAACAGUCAGACACACACACUAACAGACACACACUCACUAGCAGACACACACACAAACUCACACACACUAACAAACACACAUUAACAGACACACUCACUGACACACACACUCACUAGCAGGCACACACACACUCACUGACACACAGUCAGACACACACAUACACACUAACACUCACUAGCAGACACACACACACAAACUCACACACAC